Molecule: ribosomal RNA, 1837 nt
Filed under: Triticum aestivum (bread wheat)
Lineage: Eukaryota; Viridiplantae; Streptophyta; Magnoliopsida; Poales; Poaceae
Description: partial small subunit ribosomal RNA
Source: RNAcentral
ACGGAACGCAACCUUAUCUCCCCCAGUACUCUCUCCUCUCCUCUCCACUCACUCAACCUCUCUCGACCCUCUCCCGGUCUCCCCUCCCCCGCCCCAUCCGCUGUGCGUGACCACAAGCUCCUGCCGCAACCGCGCGACUCUGCCCGCCGACCACCGCAUCCGUCGCAUGCAUCGGCGGUUGCCGCACGACGAAGGUCAUGGCUGGUCCCACGACGGCCUCGGCUGGAGGAGGACGAUAGGUCCAUAGUGACGGACGCUCAAGUAAGAGGAGCGGCCCAAUGGCGGCGGCCUCGAGCACGGGGAUAAGUGCAGGCUGGGGAUGCAGGAGAGGUGCAGCGCGGGGUUUGGAGCUCCCACGAGCUGGGUGUGGCGCAUCCGACGGCGACAGACACAGGGACGCGUUGAUCCGGGUGUGGGUGCUCAAUUCGGUCCCGUUCUGGCCGGAUCCGCGGCGGUGCUCAUCUCUGGCGAGGUGGCCUGUGACUCGCGGGACGACGGCGGCGCAAGACCACAGGAGGGGCUCAUCUCAUGGGACAGGGGCGCGAGGUCUUGUUGGCUUCGGUUGCUGGUGGCUUGACGCAGGGGUGGCCGGGGUCCGACGCCAUGGAGGCUCUUCGAGGACGAGGAAGUAGACAGCGACGACAACUUUGAGGCCGGCGGGGGCGCCGUCUCCGCGUUCGAUGGUCGGGGUCCAACGCGGCCGCCGUUGGCUCCAUCCCCUACAGUUAUCAUGCAGAUAAGAGAACCAAAAACUACCACAUUGAUAUCUGCUUCAGGAAAAAUGGUUUGCACUGGAGCAAAAAGUGAACAACAAUGUAAACUCGCAGCUAGAAAGGUCAAAUAUUUGACGAUGUUUUCUUCUCCCAACCUGGCAAGGAGUAAGAAGUCAGUUGGAGUGAGAAGUGAGACAAGUACCAUGAGCUCAAGUGAUUCAUUCACCAAGCUGGUAAACGCAUAAACUUCAAAAAAAUCAUCUCAAUAAGUUUUGGUUGGCUGAUAGCUUGCAAGAUCUUCAUAUUCUACAUAGAAGGUGCAGUGUGAUGUGAUGCAUAUGGAACUGGUAUUACUUUGCAGUAUGGAACUGGCGGUGGGUGUAUGAAAUGUGAUGGCAGUAACAUUAUACCUAAUUUCUUAUUAGUUCAUGAUAUGGCUGUUUGGAAUGUGAUACCUGGACGUGAGUGUCUCUGGCGUGGGAUCCUGGACGCCUCUGACAGCGGCUGGUGAAAGGGAUAGCCGGAUCCUGGACGUCUUCAGCGACGGGUCCUGAAAGGGACCGGCGCCGGAUCUUGGAAGCGUUCGGCGGAGGGUCCUCAACUGGACAUGCACCGGAUCAGUGGAGGCCGGAUCAGUGGAGACCAGCGGCGGAUCAGUGCCAGGGCGGUGGCGAAGGGAUGGAGCGGCGGCGGUGAAGGGAUGAAGAGCGGCAGCGGGCGAAUGAGGGCACAGACUCAGGCGUCUGUUUCUCGCUCGAGGGCACGAGACCUCGCUUGUAUGUGCGGGGGAUUGGUUUGCGAUUUUUUUUCCCUGGUUAAUUUUUGCCAGGUUUUUUUCGCUGGUUAAUUUUCGCCGGUUUGUUCGUGUUAGAUGGGUGCGAAGGGAGGUUAGGCGCGUGGGGGCGGAUGUGGGACUCGGCCUUGAGGGUUUUUCUUGAUUCAUCGCGGCUGAGCGGGAGGUGGGAGCAGGUACCAAAAAAGACCGGGUGAGGUGGGACGAAAAUUAAACCCGAAACGCGACCUACCAACUGAGAUAUUAGGAGUAGAGACUAAGGGAUAUUAAGGCCUCCUUUUAAUAGAGAACUGGAACAAAGCAUUAGCACAUAGUGAAUACAUGAACUCCU